UCCAUGUUUGCGUCAAUUUACAACCCAAUAACCUCACCUCAUCUCUUAUCUUUCUUCAAAUUGGAAUAAAAAAACACAGAUUCAGUUUCGGCUCUAUAUCCUCCUCUCGCUUCUUCUUCUUCUUCUUCUACAUUCUCUUUCAUCUUCAAUAAAAGAUAUCUCCACACCCUUUCAUCAAACUUAAAUUCACCGGGACUUUCAGUGCACGAUAUUCAAUCCAAUGGUGCAGAUACCAGUUGUUGGACUUCAGUGAUUCUGAUUGAAUCUGUUGGACCUGAUUUAUUGUGUUACUGGUGACAGUUACUGUUUCCAUUCCUUUUCUGAUAAAACAUAAAAGGUUGAUAAAAUUGGAAAUUUUGAAGCUUUCUAUCGCAAGUCUUUCCGUAUCCAAAAGCUGCAGGAGAAAUGGGACUUCAGGUGUUCAGCAUUGGUGCUUUAAAACCUUUGCUUUGGUUUGUGAUCUAUUGUUCAAAAGUAUCAUCUUAUUAAUUGAGUUGAUGACACACUGGUAGAGCAGCUUGUGAAAUCUGAUAAAACUUGUUAAGAGAGGUGAGUCCCUAGUUCAUUGGUGUUGCUUGUGUUGGUGUGAUGGGGAAUUGGUAGACCAACUUUUACUUCAUUGUAAGUUUUCUCAUGCUUUAUGGAAUGAAGUUUUUUAGGUAUUUGGGGUCCAAUGGAUUUUGCCGAAGACUGUUUUCUCUCUUCUUUUUGCAUGGAGGAAUUGGUUUGGGAAGCAACUGCCAAAAAUAUCUGGAAUAUAGUUCCAGCUUGUCUUGAGUUGCUUUUCUUGGUGGCUUUACCUCAUAUAUCCCUUUUUUUUUCUUUGUUGGAUUUUGAUGUCUGAGACUCUAUGAUUUCUGCUACUGGGAGGUUAUCAGUAAAAUUCCAGUGUUCUUCCAGCACUUUGUUGCCGUCUCAUACAAUUGUUGACAUAUCUGGAACAGAGUGCAGAUAGAAAAUGCAGAGAAGAAAGUGCAAAGCUACUAGACUGUCUAAUACGGAAAUGCACUUGUGGCUAGGCUUCUUGAGGGCGCCGGGGUCAAUGUGAAUAAUUGCAUUAUAUGCGGAGUUCUUGCAACUGUUGGGGAUCUUACUAGAGUGGGUGGUUAUUUAACGAGACAAUACAUUCCUGAACAUAUGCCUUUAAUUGUUGAAGCUUUAUUGGAUGGAGCAGCUAUCACAAAACGUGAAGUGGCUGUUGUUACUCUUGGUCAAGUUGUGCAGAGCACUGGGCAUGUGACACUUUUCUUAAGGGCUUUGGGUGUGUCUACAUAUCGCAGAUUCAUGCAAAUAGCAUAUGAGGGCUUCGGAUGUGUCUAAGUAGCACAGAGGGCACUUGGGUGCAGGUUUGUGCCUUGGUGUCAUUAAUGUCUGACUGUGAAAUCCUAUGCAAGACACUGUUUAAGACGUGUCUUUGAAGCAAAAUCCUAUGCAAUCUGUUGAAGACAUGCUUUCAUUGAUAUUGAUAUUUCUUUGUGAUAUAGAAAUAAGUCAAGUUCUGAUUUUAAAUAGUGAGGGGCUCUCGUAUUGUCAAGUUCUGAUUAUUCCCUAUCCUCAACUAAUAGCAAUUUGUUCCCAUGGAAGAUGGUGUGGCACUCAAAGGUCCCAUCUAGGGUAGCUUUCUUCUCUUGGACUUCUGCUCUAGGGAAGAUCUUAUCUAUAGAUAAUCUCCGGAAUAGAGGUAUGUUGAUCUUGGAUUGGUGCUGCAUAUGCAAAAAAUGUGGGGAGACUGUGGAUCACCUGCUCCUUCAUUGUCCUAUAGCUUUGGAGUGGUGGACUAUGGUGUUUUGUUUAUUUGUCCUCCACUGGGCUGUAUCAAUGAAAGUCAUUGAUAUGUUUGCUGCUUGGCAAGGGUCUUUUGGCAAGCAUAGAAAAUUUUCUUUUUGGCUGGCUGUCCCACAUUGCAUUAUGUGAUGUCUUUAGCAAGAGCGGAAUUCCAAAAGUUUCGAGGGAUGUGAACAGAAUAUCUUAGAAAUUAGCCUUUUUUCUCCAUAGUUUGUUGGAUUAGAGUGCUGCUUUCUAUCUCCACCUUGUUUUUCUCUCUUAUAUUUGUUUGAUCAUUGUACUUUGAAUUGAUUGUACUUCUCUCUUAGUACACUGCUAGUGUACUAGGUUUGUUUUAUAUCCAAUAAAAAAUUUUCAUUACUUAUCAAAAAAAAAAUAGUGAGGGGCUCUCAUGGGCAAGUCUUUGGAAGUGUAAUGGGAAUGGGUCACACCAUGUAAAAUCAUUUAGUGCUUCUCUUUUUUUGUGCAUGCACUUUGUACUCAUUAUCUCACCCUUCAUUCUGAACUUUCAGGGGAGGUGAUGCUAUUUGAGUUGGUGCUGAUUGGCUAUUUUGUGCUUAAGGUUGCAGGUAUGUUAUAAUUCCAUAAAAUGAGUAUCCGCAGCUAUUUGAAUGGUGAGUUAGCAUGGUCUACCAGACAGGAAGCACUGAAGGGAUCUACUUACGACUUAGACUUCUGAGUUGUAUCCCGUACAACAUUUUUUUUGUACAAAGGUUGUUCUUGUUUAGAUCCUUGGAAUUAUGGGUGCUCUGGAUCCUCAUGUGCAUAAAAAAAAUCAGCCAAGUUUGCUGGGGUGGCAUGGAGAUGUAGCCUGUGCUACCAGUGAUUCAGGUCAUGUUCAGUCCUUGGAUGAUCUGCCUAUGGAUCUGUGGCCAUCUCUUGCAACACCUGAAGAUUAUUAACCCACGGAUCCUUUUCUUGCUAGUUACCACCUUAAGGUGCUUGGAUCACUUAUGUUCACAUUUAAGCUCUGGAGGUAAAAGCUUGACUUCCAAAAUGCCAAGGGAUAGAAGAAGGCUUUCCUUGUGUGCAAAUUUUAGUGGCCUAAGCAUGGAACAAGGUAUACCAGAAGAAAAGUUGGGAUCAGUCAAAAAUGUGAAAGAAUGUGAAGAAGCUCGAUGCCCAAUCUGCAUGGAGCACCCUCAUAAUGCUAUUCUCUUCAAGUGUACCUCCCAUGGGAAGGGCUGCCGGCCUUACAUUUGCAACACCAACUACUAGCACGCCAGUUCCGUAAUUCAUUUAUUCCACAUUCCUCAAGGGCACUAGACCCUUGUGAAAUCUCGUUGCAAACAAAGGUAGUCUCUCCUCUUUGUUGGGGAGAGAUUUAUGGAUACUUUAUAGUAGAGCCUGCUAUUAAAUUCAUGAAUUCCAAAGUAAGGAGUUGUUGA
Molecule: long non-coding RNA, 3173 nt
Organism: Quercus robur (English oak)
Lineage: Eukaryota; Viridiplantae; Streptophyta; Magnoliopsida; Fagales; Fagaceae
Exons: 11
Source: RefSeq, a predicted model, not a curated record